CAUCUUAUUUAUCUGCUCAAAUCAAGGACAAAUACACUCAUUUUAAGAACAUUUUACUUAUUUUUAGUUCCGUUUUCGCAGUGUGCUUCUGAUUUAACGUCUUGGUAGGUUUAGUUCAGACAAUCUCUUUCUCAAACGAUGCUCAGACCCUAACCUGACCCAUCUGCUGGGUUCCCUGGUGUUUAUGAAGCU
Long non-coding RNA from Fundulus heteroclitus (mummichog), 192 nucleotides. RefSeq lists it as uncharacterized. The record is from RefSeq and is a predicted model, not a curated record. Lineage: Eukaryota; Metazoa; Chordata; Actinopteri; Cyprinodontiformes; Fundulidae. The transcript has 3 exons.